Molecule: ribosomal RNA, 497 nt
Filed under: uncultured bacterium
Lineage: Bacteria
Description: partial 16S ribosomal RNA
Rfam family: Bacterial small subunit ribosomal RNA
Source: RNAcentral
AUUGAACGCUGGCGGCAUGCCUUACACAUGCAAGUCGAACGGUAACAGGUCUUCGGAUGCUGACGAGUGGCGAACGGGUGAGUAAUACAUCGGAACGUGCCUAGUAGUGGGGGAUAACUACUCGAAAGAGUGGCUAAUACCGCAUGAGAUCUACGGAUGAAAGCAGGGGAUCGCAAGACCUUGUGCUACUAGAGCGGCCGAUGGCAGAUUAGGUAGUUGGUGGGAUAAAAGCUUACCAAGCCGACGAUCUGUAGCUGUCUGAGAGGACGAUCAGCCACACUGGGACUGAGACACGGCCCAGACUCCUACGGGAGGCAGUAGUGGGGAAUUUUGGACAAUGGGCGAAAGCCUGAUCCAGCAAUGCCGCGUGCAGGAUGAAGGCCUUCGGGUUGUAAACUGCUUUUGUACGGAACGAAAAGCCCCGGGUUAAUACCCUGGGGUCAUGACGGUACCGUAAGAGUAAGCACCGGCUAACUACGUGCCAGCCGCCGCGGUAA